This 253-nucleotide ribosomal RNA is filed under the name uncultured bacterium. RNAcentral describes it as "partial 16S ribosomal RNA". It matches the Rfam family "Bacterial small subunit ribosomal RNA", at positions 524 to 776 of the family's 1533-position model. The record is from RNAcentral.
UACGGAGGGUGCAAGCGUUAUCCGGAUUCACUGGGUUUAAAGGGUGCGUAGGUGGGCAGGUAAGUCAGUGGUGAAAUCUCCGGGCUUAACCCGGAAACUGCCAUUGAUACUAUCAGUCUUGAAUACCGUGGAGGUAAGCGGAAUAUGUCAUGUAGCGGUGAAAUGCUUAGAUAUGAUAUAGAACACCAAUUGCGAAGGCAGGUUACUGAGCCACAACUGACGCUGAGGCACGAAAGCGUGGGGAUCAAACAGG